Long non-coding RNA from Brassica napus (rape), 1214 nucleotides. RefSeq lists it as uncharacterized. NCBI's taxonomy places the organism in Eukaryota, Viridiplantae, Streptophyta, Magnoliopsida, Brassicales, Brassicaceae. The transcript has 2 exons. The record is from RefSeq and is a predicted model, not a curated record.
GCAUCCACAUCUCUCUUGAUUUUCAUGUAACCAUUUUCUCCCCAAGUUUGUCCCCAUGAGUUCUUCAGUAACCAAUACUUAUUCCCUUCUUCACUGAUCCCGUAACCAACUACUGUAACCGCAUGAGUCAGUUGUGUCCCACAGUCUCCGUCAAAUAUGCCACUCCGAUAUUGCUUAAACGCAGGCUCGUGGCCAUUUAUCGCCACUGAAACAGGCUGUUUAGAUACUGCCUUUAGCAAUGAUUGCUCGUCAUUACUUGGAACCGUCUCGUAUCCACUGAUGGUAGCAGCAACGGAAUAGGUUGAUGAACAUGUUUGUUGUGACUCCUGGUAAGGAUAGUUAUCUUCUGUUGUAAUUCCUUGGUUUUCGAUUAUGUACUCGAAAGCCUUGGACAUUAUCCCUCCCGCACAUCCUUGGUUGUAGUCUCUGCUGCAAUCCAACAACUGCUGCUCCGAUAGCGAUAGGAGCUCUCCUUUCGCAAUCUGUGUUAUGCCUUCUACGGCUGCCACCGCCGAGAAAGCCCAGCAGACUCCUGUUUCAUUUUUUAUAAAUUAUAUAUAUAUAUAUAUAUAUACUUUUUAAAUGUGAUGUAAACCGAAUUAUAUAAUCAUAAAUAGGUUGUCUGCUAUAUUUUGUGUCUAUUAAUUACAACAAUGGUUUAGUUUAAAGUAGUAUAGCUAUUACUGACAAAAAAAGAUUACCACAGUGGCCUUGGUUCUUAACGGAUGUAACCGCCCCCUCCUGUCUCCAAUCCAUGCUCUCGCCAGUGUCAUUGACAUUUUCAUGUCUAAACGACACCUUUUUGUCCGAACCUGACGAUGAAAUUCUUAGCAUAUCUUCGGGAACCACCAGCCCCAUGUACCUCGCCCGAAAUUCCUCGUCCGUGAGGUCAGAGAACUGACUGACAUCCAACGUAUUCAUCGGAGUAAACACGAUGGAAACGAGCCAUCCAUUGCUCAUGUUUCUCCGCGACAGCAGAAGCUUCAAAGAGUCCCCCACGAGAAGUGACUCCUGAAGUUCUAGAACUCAAUAUAAUGGCUAGAAGCAAUAAAGUGAUCGAAGCCAUUCUUUUAGAGAGAAAUGUAUAAAAUGUUUUCAAAAUAUAAAUGGUUGGGUUUCAAGGAAACGAGUAAGAAGGUGACGUUAUAUAGAUAUUGCAAACUGUAAGGUCGCAUGUCUUUUCUUGAAUAUUCUAACGAUAUUUUGUUAGGUAA